Molecule: ribosomal RNA, 468 nt
Filed under: uncultured bacterium
Lineage: Bacteria
Description: partial 16S ribosomal RNA
Rfam family: Bacterial small subunit ribosomal RNA
Source: RNAcentral
GACGAACGCUGGCGGCGUGCUUAACACAUGCAAGUCGAACGGAAAGGCCCUGCUUUUGUGGGGUGCUCGAGUGGCGAAAGGGUGAGUAACACGUGAGUAACCUGCCCUUGACUUUGGGAUAACUUCAGGAAACUGGGGCUAAUACCGGAUAGGAGCUCCUGCUGCAUGGUGGGGGUUGGAAAGUUUCGGCGGUUGGGGAUGGACGCGCGGCUUAUCAGCUUGUUGGUGGGGUAGUGGCUUACCAAGGCUUUGACGGGUAGCCGGCCUGAGAGGGUGACCGGCCACAUUGGGCCUGCGAUACGGCCCAGACUCCUACGGGAGGCAGCGGUGGGGAAUAUUGCACAAUGGGCGGAAGCCUGAUGCAGCAGCGCCGCGUGCGGGAUGACGGCCUUCGGGUUGUAAACCGCUUUCGCCUGUGACGAAGCGUGAGUGACGGUAAUGGGUAAAGAAGCACCGGCUAACUACGUG